GUUAUGUUUGCAAAUUUUCAUAAUAAAAUGCUGGAGCGGGAGAAGAAAAAAAAGUACCUAACGGCAAGAUUCUUGGGACUGGAUGGGGAGAGAGAAGAUGCAAAAUUUUAAGAACACGUGACACUGUGGCAUUGAAGAGAGAAUAAUUCCAGACUCAUAACAGCUACGACUGAGAGACUGUGUACCCCUGGGAACUGCUAAGCAGAGCCACCAGGCCCCACAUUAUUUGUCCUGGGCCUCGUUAAAGGAAACAUCCCUUCUGUGAGCCACAAACACAAGAUGUUCCUGCAGAGAAGCCAAUGUUCUUCAUGAAACUAGGGUCACUGCUAAGAACACCUGGGCAGAGGGACAGGUACAGCUGUGUUACAGCUUCCAUUCCUUUCGAUUCAGUGUGAACUCAUCAAAUUAUAAUUUAAUUUAACAUAUUGGUCUAGUAGUUGUGGUUAAAAUGACACAGACAAUGGGGAAACUUUAUGCUUCUGGAAGGACAGGUGCCCAUGGGACAGGGGUCCCUUCUUUUUAGACGGGUUGACCUAAGGCAUGUCCAAGGUCAGACCCUCCAUGGUGAAAGGGGAGGGGAGGGACUGAGCACAGAACAAGCCCAGCUUCUUCCCCACCUUCUCGCUGCCCUUAACCUCCUCUCCCCCUCUCCGCUGAUCUCCAUUCUGUACACCUGACCUUGCAAACUCAGUUUUAAGACCCAGGAAUUUCCCAUCUGUCGUGGCUCAGCGUAUCCACAGGGAUGCAGGUUCAAUCCCUGGCCUCGCUCAGGGGGUUAAGGAUCCAGUGUUGCCGUGGGCUAUGGUGCAGGUCACAGACAUGACUCAGAUCAAGCGUUGCUGUGACUGCGGCGUAGGCCGGCAGCCGCAGCUCUGAUUCGACCCCCUAGCCUGGGAACUUCCAUAUGCCACAGGAGUGGCCCUAAAAAAAAGGCAAACAAACCAAAAACAAAAUUCCCAUUGUCUGUGAUUUCUCUAUGGAUUUUCCCAGGGCAGUCAACCAGAUCACAGCAGAAGUGGUAACCCUGCUUCCCGAGAAAGAGCCACUGGGAGGUGCAUGCUGCUGCUAACAGGCUGUUCGUGUGUUCAACACGAAUGCUUUGAAAAUUAAGACUAUCUUGACUUUCUGCCUAGGUUUUACCACGUUUUAUCACAUUGCUACAUGCCAGACUGACUCGACCUCCUCCCACAGCAGAAGACUCCCUGAGUAAGAACCACAUUCUCCGCUGCAUAAUGAACUGAGGCUCUGUGUGUGUGUGUGAGCCCCUUGACCCACGGUGGGUGCUCAGGAAAUGGGCCCCCACGCACAGGCCGAGCAUCUGCCGUAUGCUGAGUACUUUAUACACUUUAUCCCAUGGAUUCUUCACAGCAGCCCUUCCUGUUUGUGCCGUGAAUGGUCCCCACCUCCCAGGAAACCAAGGCUUGGAGAGAUUAAAUGGCUGGUCCCGGACCCCACAGCCCACAGGUGUCACAGCAGGACUCCUGCUCAGGUCUGUGGGACCCUGGACCACACCACUAACUCCACCCGGAAUUACUUUACAAUUAAUUAUAAGACGUGGGUCUACCCAUCUUCUGGUUUUCUCAGUGACCCUGAGGCCCAAGUAAGGGCUCCGCUAAGUGUCUAUUUUAGUGACUGAGAUAACGGAAGCUUACAUGACCAAGCCUGAGCCCUCGCACCCCAGUCCCAUGCUCCUUCCCGUGGGGCCUGACCCACUGGGCUGAAGCUGUUCUCUUCCCUUCCUCAGCCCAGUAUCCCUGGUCCAGCAGCGUGAGCCCAGAGACCCCACUGCAGGCCCAGAGCUGGGGAACCCAGGCCGGUCCUGUGCACAAGGCCUUGGCCAGGCCGGACAAGCCACUGGGCUGGGCUCAUGUUCAUUCCACUCUGAGUCAGCAGCUAAAAAAGGCUGCUAAUCUUUAAUUCAGGGAUGUUAUUUUUCUAUUACAGAAAUUUCAGCCAAACUAAUGGUUUCACACUAUAUCAGGAACCUCAGAAGCGCCAGCAGGAUAAUCCAGACAUGGACUCAUUUAACCUCACUCUCCAAAGUGGAAAGUGGGCCUUGUCAUCCCAGGCCAGUCCCCGGGGGUGCAUACUGGAGGGUGGCUGUCAGCUCCCCUAGCCACGGGGAGCCCCAGGGGGGAGGAAGCAACAGGCUUGGGAGGAAGCAACAGGCUAUGGUCUGUGGGAACCACACUCAGUGGGUUAACUCGGACCGGGAUCCCCAGCCCUCAGCCACACUGCCCGGGUUGUUCCCAGGAGCCUGUUUAAAACGUCUGAGGCCUACUGGGGUUCCCAUUGUGGCUUAGCAGUUAUGAACCUGACUAGUAUCCAUAAGGAUGUGGGUUUGAUCCCUGGCCUCACUCAGUGGGUUAACAAUCUGGUGUUGCUGUGCAUUGCAGCACAGGUCACAGAUGUGGCUUGAAUUCUGGCGUGGCUGUAGUGUAGGCCAGUAGCUGCAGCUCCAGGUCUACCUCUAGCCUGAGAACUUCCAUAUGUCACAGGUACAGCCCUAAAAAGCAAAAACAGACAAAAAAUAAAACAAACCAAAACAACCCCCCCCCAAAAAAAAGUCUGAGGCCUAGGAAACUGCUGUGACCCUCCAGGGACAGAGGCUGGGCACCCCCUCACCUGUCCCCAAUCCUCCCAGAAGCCACCCUGAGGCUUGAGCAUCCAGACCAGGAUCAGAAGGCCAGGGAGAGGCAGCCAGCACCCUAAGGCCCUGGGCUCAGGUCCUCAGCCAGCCUGGGCCUCAGGCAGGGAGUGGGGGAGGCUCCCUGGGCAACCGCUGGGGUCAGGAAGGCGAGGUUCCAGCCACUUGCAGGUCGAGGCAGAAACACAGAAGCCUUCCCUCCCAAUGCUCACAGAUGCACAUUUUAAAAUACAGCCUGGGGUUUCUCAGGGCAAGAAAUCUUAGAAACAAAUCCCCUGAGAUGGUGUCUCGAAUGACCGACCAUGUGUCUCACGAGAAACGCUAAGUGGACAGGAGCCCAUGGCAAGGCCGGCCUGGUGCUCACGUGUGGCUGACACCCUCCCUCUGGUUGUGAGUUUGUCAAUUUGUCGAGGACAGGAGGAGAUGAGGUCCAACUGGCUUACAGGCGCAGCCACCCUCCCCGCAGCCAGCGGUCCGGAGCGAGCAGCCCAGGCAUGGAGGGUCUCAGCCUCAGUCUCAGCCUUGGCGGCACCAUCAGGAACUUUCCAACCACUCAUGUCUGGCUCCAAACACCUCAGCUGUCCUGGCCCAAGGGGAGGGGGGUGCUGGGCUGAAAAUCUCCCCAGGGUUCCUCACACUAGGGUGCCCCCAACAUGCCCCUGGGAGCCUGCGAAACCCCGAUGACUGGGUCCCCUUCCCAGAGGCUCUGCCCUGCAGGUCUCAGGUGGGGCCUUGGAAUGUGCAUUUCCAACAAGCUCCUGGGGGCCACUGCUGGUGCUGAUCCCACCCCUGAGAACACUUAGAUGAGGGCAGGGCCCUGCCUUCCUGGGGACCCCAGUAUGCAAAUGGGACUUCAGGUGGACCCCAGACACAAACAAGGUGAGAGGACACAGCCCAGCCUUGUGACCAGAAAAGCCGGGAAAUGUGAGUGCUGGGCCUCGCUCUGUUGCCAUCCAGAGGCGGACCCUGGAGAUACCCCUUCCCCCGCUGCAGACCCCAGUCCUGGCAUCACCAGUGGAACAAAAUAAAUUCAAGUAAAGAAUCCCCAGUCACCCCAGGUAUACUGCUACUCCAGAAACAGCUAAGAAGGGCUGGGGACCAGGCCAGAAUGAACCCCACAGGGCUGGAGACGCGCCCAGGGCCCCUUUGCUCCUUGGCCACAAGGAAGAAGUGGCCAUCGUUGUCACAGGUCAGGAGAGGGAGCCCAGGGGUGCAGGGGGCCAGGAAGUGGCUGCCACUUGAGAUGACCCCUCCCCAGUGGGUGUUCCCAGCACCCCCACUUCCAUGGCCCGUGGUCGCCACACACAGGUGUGCUCACUGCUCACGGCUCCGUGGGAGCCUGAAAUUCAAAGUCUGGGGACACUGCCCCCAGGUGCUCACCUGUGGCCAAUGGCACAUGGAUGCAUGUGCCAUCCUCUGUUCCCAAAGGGAAGUAAGUCCAAGAUGUAAGGAAGACCGGACAGGUGGCCUGGCCACCAGACCCCCCGGAACAAGGGGUUAGCCCAGACCAGUGGCUUUCAAGCAUUUUUAGAGGAUGAACCUUUCUUCUUCUUUUUAAUAGAUCCCUAGCACAUGGUCGACCAGUGCUGAGGUUCUGACUGUGUGUCUCUGUGUGGGGGUGAGAGUGGGGAGGGAGGGGUCCCUGAGUCCCAGACAGCCCCCCACCCCCGCCACCAGGGGUGUGGUACAAUGGAAUACCCUUCAGCCAUAGACAAGAAUGACAUAAUGCCACAUGCAGCAGCAUGUAUGCAACUAGAGAUGCUCACACGCACUUGUAUGUGGAAUCUGAAAAAAUGAUGCAGAUGAAUUUGUUUACAAAACAGAAACAGACUUGCAGAGAACAAAUUUAUGGUUACCAAAGGGGACAGAGGGGAGGGGAGGAAUAAGACAGGAGUUUGGGAUUAUAUGCACACCACUAUACAUAAAACAGAUAACCAACAAGGACCUAUCGUAUAGCACAGAGAACUCUACUCACUAUCUUGUAAUAACCUAUAAUGGAGAAGAAUCUGAAAAAUAUAUAUACACAUGUAUGUAUACACACACACAAAUAUAUACACAUGACUGAAUCACUUUCCUGUAUACCUGAAAUUAACACAACAUUGUGAAUCAACUAUACAUCAAUCAAUAAAUACAUAAAUAAAUUUUUUAAAAAAUAAAGUAUUGACUACGGUACUAGUUUUAAUAUGGCACAGGCCCCAUCUCAGGGAAGGUCAGGGAGAGCAGAGAGGGAGGCAGGACGUCUUUCUCCCCUCAGCCUCCCCUCCAGGCCUGGCACCUGUCCCAGGGUCUACGGCAGGGCCAGCAGCAGCAAACGUUUCCUGGAAAAGGGCCACAGAGUAAAAAAUUUAGGUCGUGCAGGUCCUGUGGCCUGUAUUGCAACUAUUCAACUCUGCCUUCAAAGAGCAAGAGCAGCCAUGUGUGGCUGUGUGUGGCUGUGUUCCAAUAAAACUUUAUUUAUAAAAACCGCCGACAGACCGGGUUUAGUGGAGGCCCCCAGUUUUGCUGAGCCCUGGCAUAGGGAAAAACGCUGUGGGGUCCGCAACCCUAAGAUUCUUUCCACAUUUAUGACAAUGAAUUCUCAAUUCUUAAACUCUACUUGCCAGAGUCUUGGUCUAACCUAUCAAGAAUACACUCAUUCCUGAACUUCACGGAUUUUUGUUCCAAGAACCAAAAAUGUUCUGAUGAGCUAAUGAAUGUGAAAAAUGCUUUGAAAAGCCUAAGCUUUGCAAACGGGCAGACCCACCAAAGCCUCUAAGAGCAGAGCUUACCAUCCUUUACCUGUGUUUCAGGAAGAUUCCAGGCAGUGGGUUAUGUCCGCCUGGGCUGCUUUUAAAGAACGGGGUUUAAAGAAUGCUGCAGUAAAAAGGGCCUAAAGGGACAACAAAGUUGGAAGAAAUGAAUAGUGUCUGGUCCUUGUCUCCUGGAGCCUGAAACUUUUAAACUCUCCAUAGAAAAUCCCACACUCCCCAUUUCAUCCUGUUUGUCUACGCAGCGGCAUCUUAGGCCAGGAAACGGCAUUAGUCAGGAGGCUCCUGGUUAAUCCCUGGAUACGUCUCCUUUGCGCAGCUGUGAAAAUGCUGCAUUGUUAUUUAACUGCACUGAACCGCUCUCCAUCCUUUAAACUGUCUUCAUAAUCACACCGUGACCUAAGGUGCCCUGGCGUGGUGAAGUCCCUGUGAAUGGCUGCCAUCCGUCUACCCUCCAUCGUCCUUCUGGCAGAAAGAAAUCGUAGCCACAAUUUAGUAAGCACCUACUGUGGCUGAGCUUUUGCUANUUUUUUUUUUUUUUUUUUGGUCUUUUUGGCUUUUCUAGAGCCGCACCCACGGCAUACGGAGGUUCCCAGGCAAGGGGUCUAAUCGGAGCUGUAGCUGCUGGCCUACACCACAGCCACAGCAACGCCAGAUCUGAGCCAAGUCUGCAACCUACACCACAGCUCAUGGCAACACCGGAUCCUUAACCCACUGGGCAAGGCCAGGGAUCGAACCCUCAACCUCAUGAUUCCUGGUCAGAUUCGUUAACCACUGAGCUACGACAGGAACUCUGAGGUUUUGCUGUUUCAUGAAGCUUACUUCACCUCAUGACAACCACAACUCUGAGACGUGGGCCUCUCAAUCUGCAUUUUACAGACGGUGGAGAUGAGGUUCAAAGAAUUUAGAAAACACCUGCCAAUGCACAGGUCGAAAAUGACGGAACUGCGAUUGAGGAUUUACCCUGGAACCCAAGCUCUUGCCACGUUAUCAUCAAUGACUUCAUGUAUCUCAUCUGUUAUUUUUCCUAGCCUCCUUGUAUUGACAAAGAAAAGACGAAAUCCUGCAAACAGAUACAAGGGGGACAAUUUCUUCCUCACUUGUGAUCCUCUGAAGGUGAAAAAAGAACUGUCACCUGGCCAGGUAAGAAUCAUGAAAGUUCACCCAAGAGCUAAGCUAGUCUCAGAUGGCAUUAAGUUUGGGUUAUGAUUUUUCUACACAGAGAGUAUAUUGCUUUUGAAAGGAAAAUUGAGAUGUUUGUUUUUUCAAUAAGCAACAAGUCUGGAGUAGGGGGAACCUGCUUUCUCUUCUUGCAGGGCCCUGGGCUAACAUCCACGUCCCAGCCUCCCUUGCAGUUAGAGGUGGUCGUGUGACUGAGCCCUGACCAACAGAACAUGAGCAAGAAUGAGGGUCUGGGCCCUAAAAUUCAGCUUGUACAACCCCCCUUGCUCAUUUCCCUUAGAGCAAAGCAGCACAGUGACCUUGGAAACCAAGCGGGAGGACAAAGAAGCCUCAAAAUAGAAAGUUCCACAGUCCAUGGACCACCUCUUACAGCAGGGCCACCGCAGACCAGAACUUUACAUGAGAAAGAACUUUGUUUUGGAGUUCCCAUUGUGGCCAGUGGUUUAAUGGUCUGGCUUGUCUCUGUGGCAUUGCCGAUUUGAUUCCCCAGCCCGGAGUAGUGAGUUAAGGCUCUGGUGUAGCCGCAGCUGUGGCACAGGUCUCAGAUGCAGCUCAGAUUCGAUUCCUGGCCUGGUGGUCCCAGAACUUCCAUGCGUCAUGGGUGCAGGGGGAAAACAAUAAAAAGAGGAAAGAAACUUCUUUUGUGUUAAACUCCCAAGUCUGAAGGACUUGUUACUGCAGCUACUAUUAUCCUAAUCCAGUAACGACUAUGACACAAAUUAAAUAGCAAUUACAAUGAGUUAAAAUUCUAAGUUGUUCCACUUAAGAACGUAAACAGCGAUUAUUUGAAUCAUGAAAAUUAGAGAAAAGUUAAUGGAAGUUAUGUAAACUAGAACAAUAAAGUAUAUCUUUCAAGACUCUAAAAAAAAAAUCUUAGUUGUUUCCCAGGUUCGAACCCAGGGAUAAAACGCUGAGGUGAUUGAAAAUUAUCAUUCUUCAUAUUUUGGAUAUAUUAAAUACAGUAUUCAAAUUCCCUUCACCUGUUUCUUUUUAUGUUUCUACUGUAGCUACCAGGAAUUCCAAAGUCACAUCCGUAGCUCACAGUGCAUUUCUACAAGACAAUGCUGCCCCAGAUCGUGAAAACAUCAGAUUUUCUGGAUAAUUACUGAUACACAUUGAGUAUCCAUGCAUGACAGGUGGGAGCCCUGCUCUGCUUCUGGAAAAGCCCUGUGACCUCAGGAAGGUCACUCGUGCCCCCUGGAUCUCAUUUUUUUCAUGUAAAUCCUGAGCGCUUUGGACCUUCCAUUCUUUGUAGACUGGUCAUGCCCAGCCACAUGGUAUUAAACCAGCUGAUCCCAGCAUCCCCUUUGCUCAAGACCUGCACCCUGAACCAGUCUGCCCUGCCAGUCCUGGCCUGGUCUCCAGUUCCUGUUCAUGGUUCAUACGCACCCUUGGACUAAGCCUGUACUCUUUUUUCAUCCAGAUCUCUGACUUCCCUCCUCUAUGACAGCUCACAUUGGACUCUUGGAUGAUAUGGUUUCUGGCCAUUCCGGUAAACACACAACCUGAUCUAAUAAACACUCCAGCACAGCCCCGUGGGGUCAGUGUCCAUCAGCCUCACUUCUGUCCUGCAACCCAGGCUCAGGGUAGCUUCCCCACCGCCAGAGCCCUCAGACCCAACAAGCCUGGCAGAGGGAGGGAGCAGAGCCCUUUAUCAGAAAAGAAUGCAGAGACCUCAGAGCCCAGCCCAGGCCAAAGGCUAUCAUUUGAAGUAGCUUCCUUCUUUCAAAGUUUCUGAGGAAAAGCUUAUUUCCUUGAAAUAGCAAAGAACUGAAAACCAAAAGAUGAGAGGUUUUCUUUCUUUCUUUUUUUUUUUCUGGAGAUAGACAGCAAAGUGUACCAGUAAAUAGUACCAAGAAUUCAUUUCUGCUACAGUUGUCCACCACCCCCAAUAUUGCAUUUAGUUAACUUAAUUUUCUGGGGAUCGAAUUGAUUCGAAGUUAAAUUUCUCUUAAUAGGUCAUCUGAGUAAACAGUUUCGGGUCUAUGCCAAAAGACGACGUUUCCAGGCUCGAGAUGAAAUCGGCAGUGUCAGGCUAAGAAAACAACCUUAAAAAUUCACAGAGGGCUGGAACAAUUGCAGAAAAAUUAGAGCCCGGGGCUCAGUCUUUUUCACGCAGAUUUAGAAGAAAAAAUUACAAAUUUCCACCAACACCAAAAAAAAAAAAAAAA
This 8747-nucleotide long non-coding RNA is filed under the name Sus scrofa (pig). RNAcentral's name for it is "lncRNA (ENSSSCG00060010576.1)". The record is from RNAcentral. Lineage: Eukaryota; Metazoa; Chordata; Mammalia; Artiodactyla; Suidae.